RNAcentral lists this unclassified non-coding RNA (221 nucleotides) under Hevea brasiliensis (rubber tree). Lineage: Eukaryota; Viridiplantae; Streptophyta; Magnoliopsida; Malpighiales; Euphorbiaceae. The record is from RNAcentral.
UGGCCACCCUUUGGGCCCUGGUGGCAGAGGACGAGAGGAUUUUCUUAAAAGAGAACGAAUGAAGAUGUGAGUGAUGAAAAAGAGGACAGAAGCUACAGCCAGCUCUCGGAGAAGAAGUGUGUCUAGGGCCAUGGUGUAGUAGUGCUUUAGUGUGUGUAUGGAUAUGGAUACUGGUUUGUGAGCUAUGGGAUUUAUCUAUUUAUAUCAUUUGCAAGAGUAAG